AGUGAACGCUGGCGGUAGGCUUAACACAUGCAAGUCGAACGGCAGCACAGUAAGAGCUUGCUCUUACGGGUGGCGAGUGGCGGACGGGUGAGGAAUACAUCGGAAUCUACUUUUUCGUGGGGGAUAACGUAGGGAAACUUACGCUAAUACCGCAUACGCCCUACGGGUGAAAGCAGGGGAUCUUCGGACCUUGCGCGAUUGAAUGAGCCGAUGUCGGAUUAGCUGGUUGGCGGGGUAAAUGCCAACCAAGGCGGGGAUCCGUAGCUGGUCUGUGAGGAUGGUCGGCCGCCCUGGAACUUGAACACGGUCCAGACUCCUACGAGACGGAGCAGUGGGGUAUAUUGGACAAUAGGGGCAAGCCUUAUCCAAUCAGACCGAGUCGGUGGAAGCAGCCUUCCGGUUGUAAAGCCCUUUUGUUGGGAGAGAAAAGCAGCAGGUUAAUACCCCGCUGUUCUGACGGUACCCAGAGAAUAAGCACCGGCUAACUACGUG
RNAcentral lists this ribosomal RNA (492 nucleotides) under uncultured bacterium. RNAcentral's name for it is "partial 16S ribosomal RNA". It matches the Rfam family "Bacterial small subunit ribosomal RNA", at positions 29 to 507 of the family's 1533-position model. The record is from RNAcentral.